GACGAACGCUGGCGGCGUGCCUAAUACAUGCAAGUAGAACGCUGAAGGAGGAGCUUGCUUCUCUGGAUGAGUUGCGAACGGGUGAGUAACGCGUAGGUAACCUGCCUGGUAGCGGGGGAUAACUAUUGGAAACGAUAGCUCAUACCGCAUAAUAGUAGAUGUUGCAUGACAUUUGCUUAAAAGGUGCAAUUGCAUCACUACCAGAUGGACCUGCGUUGUAUUAGCUAGUUGGUGAGGUAACGGCGCACCAAGGCAACGAUACAUAGCCGACCUGAGAGGGUGAUCGGCCACACUGGGACUGAGACACGGCCCAGACUCCUACGGGAGGCAGCAGUAGGGAAUCUUCGGCAAUGGACGGAAGUCUGACCGAGCAACGCCGCGUGAGUGAAGAAGGUUUUCGGAUCGUAAAGCUCUGUUGUAAGAGAAGAACGAGUGUGAGAGUGGAAAGUUCACACUGUGACGGUAUCUUACCAGAAAGGGACGGCUAACUACGUG
This 495-nucleotide ribosomal RNA is filed under the name uncultured bacterium. RNAcentral's name for it is "partial 16S ribosomal RNA". It matches the Rfam family "Bacterial small subunit ribosomal RNA", at positions 28 to 507 of the family's 1533-position model. The record is from RNAcentral.